GGCGAGGUAGCUCAGUGGCAGAGCAAGCGGCUCAUAAUCGCUCGGUCGUGGGUUCAAAUCCCACCCUCGCCA
Molecule: transfer RNA, 72 nt
Filed under: Pseudomonadota bacterium
Lineage: Bacteria; Pseudomonadati; Pseudomonadota
Also listed under: 1 other name
Description: tRNA-Met
Rfam family: tRNA
About the family: Transfer RNA (tRNA) molecules are approximately 80 nucleotides in length.
Source: RNAcentral